UUUUUUUUUUUUUAAUUAUAUAAAGGAACCGUUUUUACAAUGAGCUUGGACUGCUCUGUCCUGAUGCAUUCCAAGCAUCCUUCACCUCUGUUUUUUUUCAUCAUUUUCUGGCAGCUCUUCCAGGCCACUAAUUCUCCCGGAUUUCCUGCUGUACAAAUACCCUUUCUUUCCCUGAUUAUGGCAUAGCAUUAAACGCAAGUGUGCACCGUCAGGAGGGAUGUGCCGAGCUCUCCAUUACAAUCUCUUCGUCGCCUAGUAGAAAACUUGUGUUUCCUGAUUCCACACCACAUUGUAAUUCAAUCAGAGGAACUGCUGAUGGAAGUUCACUCAGCUUAUGAAUGGCAGGAAAACUGAAGAAAUUUGCCAGUGGACUCGCUGCUGUUACCUGAAAGCUGUAACCAUGAUUGUGAGCCUAAGCUGUCUUUGGGGCAUGCCCAUCAGGGCUUGGAUGGACACCAGGGACCAUGAGGCGUUGACCUGAAUCAGAGCAUGACUCCCGCCCCAGCAGUGGCUAGAAUCAAAUGUUUUAUGGGAAAGUGGGCCCCUGUAGUGCUCCUACCCAACUGUGCAGCGUUGAAGAGUGGAAGAGGGGAGUGGGAUUCCUACCCAGUGCUUGUAGACACAUAACUCAUUUCCCUGAAGGAUGGUUGCUCUUAUCCUUUCCUUUGCCUUAAUGUUAUUUUUAGAUAUGCAUGCAAAUGCAAUUCACUCCUUCUCCUAAACCUAAUCACGUUGUUCUCAACAUAAGGUUGUAUUUCAGCAUGGCUGGAAACAGGGAAAUUGCUUGUAAGGCCUCUCCUUCUCUAGCUGCUGCCCUUUUGCCAAGGAUCUUCAAACGAGAGGGAAAUGCUGCAGUUGGUAAAUCACCCUAGCCUUCAUCAGUUCGCGAGUCGUCUGGUUCUGUUUCACCCCCAUGAUGCCGACGAUGGGGUUCAGUGCUUGCCGCCCAUGUGAAAGAGAAACUGCACGACUAAUGGAGCCACAAGACACACUCUGAACUUCACUGGUGUAAAUCAGGCGCUGAAACCAUUCAGCUCCACUGUGUGGUUUUGGGGCUUAUGUCAGUGUAUCUACCUUGGAAACAUAAUCUGCCAAACAGACCCUGCUAAGCUUGAAGGUGCGCUUCCAAGGAAUCUGUUGCAAACCUGAAGUUUUAAUGCUUCGGCCUUCUCCUCCAGCUUUUCCCUGGCUUUUUACUCAUUCUGUGGAUUAUUUAAUAAACCUUAAAACCUGCCCUUUU
Molecule: non-coding RNA, 1240 nt
Organism: Chrysemys picta bellii (western painted turtle)
Lineage: Eukaryota; Metazoa; Chordata; Testudines; Emydidae
Source: RefSeq, a predicted model, not a curated record